ACCCCCCCCCCUUUUUUUUCCCCCCCCCUUUUUUUUUUUGGGGGGGGAAAAAGGGGGGGGGGGAAAAAAAUUUUUCCCCCCAAAAAAAGGGGGGCCCCCCCGGGGGGGGGGGGGUUUUGGGGGGGGGGGGAAAAA
Non-coding RNA from Cherax quadricarinatus, 135 nucleotides. The record is from RefSeq and is a predicted model, not a curated record. Lineage: Eukaryota; Metazoa; Arthropoda; Malacostraca; Decapoda; Parastacidae.